Pezoporus flaviventris is the source of this 750-nucleotide long non-coding RNA. RefSeq lists it as uncharacterized. The record is from RefSeq and is a predicted model, not a curated record. The transcript has 3 exons. NCBI's taxonomy places the organism in Eukaryota, Metazoa, Chordata, Aves, Psittaciformes, Psittacidae.
GAGGCUGGAGGAUGUAAGGGGGGUUUCUCUGUCAACUGGCAAAGGUAGAACUAGUUUCUCUUGUUUUAUUUAUUGGUUGUAGGGCUUCUUGUAUCCCUUCUGAGUGCUGGAGGAAAACAUUGCAUACAAGUUCUCUACAAGGCAUUUCUGCUGAGUAACACAAUGAAUCAUGAAGGACAUUUUCUAUGAGAGCUCGUGCAGCUCAGACCCAGCUAUAGGAGGAGACUGAGUUGAAAACAGAAAUAUGUUGAAAGUACAAGCACUCACUUCAUUGUUAAACAGUGGUGAUUUGUUUGUUUUACCUCCAUGUAAAGAACUUACUCCAUGGAAGAACUUACACAGGCUUAAAUGGAUAUCCGACUGAGAAGACUAAAUCCUUGAAUGAAUCUGAACACAAUUGUAAAGGGAAGUGGGAAAAGUAGCUGAGAAGGUUGGAAGAAAAAACAGCAGACUACAAGGGCACUAUGUGAGCUGAAGGAUCAAAUUAUGGGGCAAAUGAUCCCCUUCCCUGUUUCCUUAAUUUGGUUUUAAACAGUGUGCUCUGUAGAAUGUAAAAUGCAACUAUUUCUCACUUAUACUCCCACUGCCUCUAUUCACCUCAUUCUUUUCCCUUUUAAUGCUUCUGAGCUAUCAUCUCAUUCUCUCAUCUUUCUUCCAGAGAAGCCAUUCACCAUUCAGUAAAAAAGAUAACACCAACUCUUUUCAAUAUGGUCAAUAAGCUUUUUUUUUUUUUUUAUUCCUUGUUAUUUU